GACGAACGCUGGCGGCGUGCUUAACACAUGCAAGUCGAACGGAAAGGCCCUGCUUUUGUGGGGUGCUCGAGUGGCGAACGGGUGAGUAACACGUGAGUAACCUGCCCUUGACUUUGGGAUAACUUCAGGAAACUGGGGCUAAUACCGGAUAGGAGCUCCUGCUGCAUGGUGGGGGUUGGAAAGUUUCGGCGGUUGGGGAUGGACUCGCGGCUUAUCAGCUUGUUGGUGGGGUAGUGGCUUACCAAGGCUUUGACGGGUAGCCGGCCUGAGAGGGUGACCGGCCACAUUGGGACUGAGAUACGGCCCAGACGCAUACGGGAGGCAGCAGUGGGGAAUAUUGCACAAUGGGCGGAAGCCUGAUGCAGCAACGCCGCGUGCGGGAUGACGGCCUUCGGGUUGUAAACCGCUUUCGCCUGUGACGAAGCGUGAGUGACGGGAAUGGGUAAAGAAACACCGGCUAACUACGG
This 467-nucleotide ribosomal RNA is filed under the name uncultured bacterium. Its description in RNAcentral is "partial 16S ribosomal RNA". It matches the Rfam family "Bacterial small subunit ribosomal RNA", at positions 28 to 506 of the family's 1533-position model. The record is from RNAcentral.